Molecule: ribosomal RNA, 460 nt
Filed under: uncultured bacterium
Lineage: Bacteria
Description: partial 16S ribosomal RNA
Rfam family: Bacterial small subunit ribosomal RNA
Source: RNAcentral
CCUACGGGGGGCUGCAGUGAGGAAUAUUGGUCAAUGGGCGCGAGCCUGAACCAGCCAAGUAGCGUGAAGGAUGACUGCCCUACGGGUUGUAAACUUCUUUUAUAAAGGAAUAAAGUGAGGCACGUGUGCCUUUUUGUAUGUACUUUAUGAAUAAGGAUCGGCUAACUCCGUGCCAGCAGCCGCGGUAAUACGGAGGAUCCGAGCGUUAUCCGAAUUUAUUGGGUUUAAAGGGAGCGUAGAUGGGUUGUUAAGUCAGUUGUGAAAGUUUGCGGCUCAACCGUAAAAUUGCAAUUGAUACUGGCAGUCUUGAGUACAGUUGAGGUAGGCGGAAUUCGUGGUGUAGCGGUGAAAUGCUUAGAUAUCAGGAGGAACAUCGGUGGCGUAAGCGCUUUACUGGGCCGUAAUUGACGCUGAGGAACGAAAGCCAGGGUAGCAAAUGGGAUUAGAUACCCGAGUAGUC